CGGUGAUCUAGCCAUGGGCAGGUUGAAGGUUGGGUAACACUAACUGGAGGACCGAACCGACUAAUGUUGAAAAAUUAGCGGAUGACCUGUGGCUGGGGGUGAAAGGCCAAUCAAACCGGGAGAUAGCUGGUUCUCCCCGAAAGCUAUUUAGGUAGCGCCUCGUGAAUUCAUCUCCGGGGGUAGAGCACUGUUUCGGCUAGGGGGCCAUCCCGGCUUACCAACCCGAUGCAAACUGCGAAUACCGGAGAAUGUUAUCACGGGAGACACACGGCGGGUGCUAACGUCCGUCGUGAAGAGGGAAACAACCCAGACCGCCAGCUAAGGUCCCAAAGUCAUGGUUAAGUGGGAAACGAUGUGGGAAGGCCCAGACAGCCAGGAUGUUGGCUUAGAAGCAGCCAUCAUUUAAAGAAAGCGUAAUAGCUCACUGGUCGAGUCGGCCUGCGCGGAAGAUGUAACGGGGCUAAACCAUGCACCGAAGCUGCGGCAGCGACACUGUGUGUUGUUGGGUAGGGGAGCGUUCUGUAAGCCUGUGAAGGUGUGUCGUGAGGC
RNAcentral lists this ribosomal RNA (549 nucleotides) under Salmonella enterica. RNAcentral describes it as "partial 23S ribosomal RNA". It matches the Rfam family "Bacterial large subunit ribosomal RNA", at positions 723 to 1269 of the family's 2925-position model. The record is from RNAcentral. Lineage: Bacteria; Pseudomonadati; Pseudomonadota; Gammaproteobacteria; Enterobacterales; Enterobacteriaceae. RNAcentral also lists the same sequence under 1 other name.